AACGAACGCUGGCGGCAUGCUUAACACAUGCAAGUCGAACGGAUAGCUUGCUAUCAGUGGCGCACGGGUGAGUAACACGUGGGAACCUACCUUUUAGUUUGGGAUAACUUUGGGAAACUAAGGCUAAUACCGGAUACGCUUUGCAGCUUGGCGCUGUAAAGGAAAGAUUUAUCGCUAAAAGAUGGGCCCGCGGUGGAUUAGCUUGUUGGUGGGUAAAGGCUUACCAAGGCAACGAUCCAUAGCUGGUCUGAGAGGAUGAUCAGCCACACUGGGACUGAGAUACGGCCCAGACUCCUACGGGAGGCAGCAGUGGGGAAUAUUGGACAAUGGGCGAAAGCCUGAUCCAGCAAUGCCGCGUGAGUGAAGAAGGUCUUCGGAUUGUAAAGCUCUUUCACGGGUGAAGAUAAUGACGGUAACCCGAGAAGAAGCCCCGGCUAACUUCGUG
This 445-nucleotide ribosomal RNA is filed under the name uncultured bacterium. Its description in RNAcentral is "bacterial SSU rRNA". It matches the Rfam family "Bacterial small subunit ribosomal RNA", at positions 29 to 507 of the family's 1533-position model. The record is from RNAcentral.